This is a non-coding RNA of Aedes albopictus (Asian tiger mosquito), 74 nucleotides long. Lineage: Eukaryota; Metazoa; Arthropoda; Insecta; Diptera; Culicidae. The record is from Rfam.
UGUUCUAUGGCUUAGUUGGCUAUAGCGCCGGUCUAGCAAAUACGAAAUCGUGGGAUCAAAUCCCACCAGAGCGC